AUUGAACGCUGGCGGCAGGCCUAACACAUGCAAGUCGAGCGAGCGGCGGACGGGUGUGUACUGUCUGGGAAACUGCCUGAUGGAGGGGGAUAACUACUGGAAACGGUAGCUAAUACCCCAUACCCUCCGAUGUGCCCCGAUGGGAUUAGCUCGUAGGUGGGGUAAGGGCGCACCGAGGCGACGAUCCCUAGCUUGUCUGAGAGGAUGACCAGCCACACCGGAACUGAGACACGGUCCAGACUCCUACGGGAGGCAGCAGGGGGGAAUAUUGCACAAUGGGCGCAAGCCUGAUGCAGCCAUGCCGCGUGUGUGAAGAAGGCCUUCGGGUUGUAAAGCACUUUCAGCGGGGAGGCGUUACCCGCAGAAGAAGCACCGGCUAACUCCGUGCCAGCAGCCGCGGUAAUUC
This 406-nucleotide ribosomal RNA is filed under the name uncultured bacterium. RNAcentral describes it as "partial 16S ribosomal RNA". It matches the Rfam family "Bacterial small subunit ribosomal RNA", at positions 30 to 526 of the family's 1533-position model. The record is from RNAcentral.